UGGGGGAUAUUGCACAAUGGGCGCAAGCCUGAUGCAGCAACGCCGCGUGAGGGAAGAAGGUCUUCGGAUUGUAAACCUUUGUCUUAUGGGACGAAACAAAUGACGGUACCAUAGGAGGAAGCCACGGCUAACUACGUGCCAGCAGCCGCGGUAAUACGUAGGUGGCGAGCGUUGUCCGGAAUUACUGGGUGUAAAGGGCGUGUAGGCGGCAUAUUAAGUCGGAUGUGAAAUUUCCGGGCUCAACCCGGGGGCUGCAUACGAAACUGAUGUGCUUGAGUGCAGGAGAGGAAAGCGGAAUUCCUAGUGUAGCGGUGAAAUGCGUAGAUAUUAGGAGGAACACCAGUGGCGAAGGCGGCUUUCUGGACUGUAACUGACGCUGAGACGCGAAAGCGUGGGGAGCAAACAGG
RNAcentral lists this ribosomal RNA (407 nucleotides) under uncultured bacterium. Its description in RNAcentral is "bacterial SSU rRNA". It matches the Rfam family "Bacterial small subunit ribosomal RNA", at positions 355 to 776 of the family's 1533-position model. The record is from RNAcentral.